Molecule: ribosomal RNA, 490 nt
Filed under: uncultured bacterium
Lineage: Bacteria
Description: partial 16S ribosomal RNA
Rfam family: Bacterial small subunit ribosomal RNA
Source: RNAcentral
AUUGAACGCUGGCGGCAGGCCUAACACAUGCAAGUCGAACGGUAACAGGAAGAAGCUUGCUUCUUUGCUGACGAGUGGCGGACGGGUGAGUAAUGUCUGGGAAACUGCCUGAUGGAGGGGGAUAACUACUGGAAACGGUAGCUAAUACCGCAUAACGUCGCAAGACCAAAAAGGGGGACCUUCGGGCCUCUUGCCAUCGGAUGUGCCCAGAUGGGAUUAGCUAGUAGGUGGGGUAACGGCUCACCUAGGCGACGAUCCCUAGCUGGUCUGAGAGGAUGACCAGCCACACUGGAACUGAGACACGGUCCAGACUCCUACGGGAGGCAGCAAUGGGGAAUAUUGCACAAUGGGCGCAAGCCUGAUGCAGCCAUGCCGCGUGUAUGAAGAAGGCCUUCGGGUUGUAAAGUACUUUCAGCGGGGAGGAAGGGAGUAAAGUUAAUACCUUUGCUCAUUGACGUUACCCGCAGAAGAAGCACCGGCUAACUCCGUG